Molecule: ribosomal RNA, 198 nt
Filed under: uncultured Anaerolineaceae bacterium
Lineage: Bacteria; Bacillati; Chloroflexota; Anaerolineae; Anaerolineales; Anaerolineaceae
Description: partial 16S ribosomal RNA
Rfam family: Bacterial small subunit ribosomal RNA
Source: RNAcentral
UCAGGCAUGGCCUUUAUAUCCUGGGCUACACACACGGCUACAAUGGGAAGGGACAAUAGGUUGCGAAGCCGCGAGGCGGAGCCAAGUCCAGCAAAACUUCCCUCAGUUCAGAUUGCAGGCUGCAACUCGCCUGCAUGAAGUUGGAGUUGCUAGUAAACGCAGGUCAGCCAUACUGCGUUGAAUACGUUCCCGGGGCUU